UAUCUUUCCAUGCUACCUGCUUCUUACCUUGGCAGUUAUGUAGAUUAAAUGACACAGGCAGAGGAGAGGCGUCAGGUGACUGAGGCGAGUCCACCUGCAGGUAUUCAGAGAGGAGCGCGCUCAAUGUAGGACAGCUUUCCAACAGGGCAUUCAUCAGCCCUAAAUAUAGACGGGACCGAAGUAGGCUGAGCGCAGAGCCCUGCAGAAGGGCCGCGUAAAAAGAAGAAGCCCUGAGUUAACUCCUCUUGCUUAAGGGAUUAAAAGCAAGACGUGGUUUCCCCCCGUCACCAACUGCACAUGAAGAGGAAAGUGACAAACUCACACACAAAUGUAAUGACGUGUUGAAGAAUAAGCAGUUCUCAUUAAUAGGUUUGAACUUUAAACACUAACUGGUCGUUGUAAAUGUUGCUCCUGUACUGGCUUGCAAAGUGAUCUACUAAAACCAUUCCCAUCUGACGGAGGAGGACUGAAGGGAACAGCUCCAGCUGUCCGUUACAGACCAAUUAAAUGCAUAUCUUCCAAAGUGUUGUCGUCAAAUAGCCUUUGUGCUUCACAAGCUGUCAAUCAUUAUUCAGUCAGCUGCUGUUGUAUCGACAGCAGAAGUGUAAUGUUAGUGUACAGUAAUAAGUUGUGACUGUGCGAUGCCACCAUGUACCCUGCAGAACAGAGCAAAACUAAAUCCUGAUAACCAAACAGGAGGGCGGACGGCUGCAGCAAGAUCACAGCUAGAAAACACUGACGCUUAGAAAUCUACUCCGUCAGACUUUCACAACACUGUUAAAGACUCAUUGAUACUCAGCUGAACUUUUUGCAAAAGGGGGACUGUAACUUUUGUCUUUAAUUACCUUAAGAGGGGAUAUUUUAAUGGACCGUAUAAGUGAGGCUGGGCCACAUGGUCGGUGAGAGACAUCAACAUUCCUGCUGGAGGACAUCUGGACAUGAACUGAGAGAGAACAGGUCGGAGAGGAAGAGGAGUCAGAGAGAUGAGUCAAGUCAGAUAUAUUUUAUAAUUGAUCUAAUUCCCAGAAAUAUAUCUGUAGGAAUGAAUAGUAUUUGUAUGGCAGCAGGUAAUCCUGGGUGUGGUCAUGAUCGUUCAGAGCACAAGAGUUCCAUAACACUCCUCAGUGCCAGUAAACCACACAAAAGACCAUCACAUGUAUCCCAGUUACACCAGUGUCUCAUUCCAGUUGGUUGUCACAGGGCAGGGAAGCUCCCUGUUAUGCUCCUAUCUUUUAUGUAAGAUUGACAGUGUGGUUUCAAGUAGCUGUGAGACAAGCAUUAAAGUGCUGGUUUGAACACACAGUCAUCAUGACUCAUUAAGAAAUCCCCACUCAAGACUUCGGUCGGGAUUUUGGAAGUGAGUCAUCGAAGCAAAAAGGUGUGACAAUCAGAGAUACAGGUGGAAACUGGCGAUAAGAGCCUCAGUGGGAGAGGUGGACGGUGCGAGAAAGAGAAAGAAAGAAACAAAUACAAAAAAAAAAAAACGGUCUCUACGUUUGGAUUUGGUGAGGAACAAGACAGACUUCCAUUGCAAGUUUGAAAUGUCAUAAAUACGCA
Long non-coding RNA from Gasterosteus aculeatus aculeatus (three-spined stickleback), 1557 nucleotides. The record is from Ensembl. NCBI's taxonomy places the organism in Eukaryota, Metazoa, Chordata, Actinopteri, Perciformes, Gasterosteidae.